GCGGAAGUAGCUCAGUUGGUAGAGCACAACCUGCUAAGGUUGGGGUCGCGAGUUCGAGUCUCGUUUUCCGCU
This 72-nucleotide transfer RNA is filed under the name Saprospiraceae bacterium. Its description in RNAcentral is "tRNA-OTHER". It matches the Rfam family "tRNA". From Rfam's summary of the family: Transfer RNA (tRNA) molecules are approximately 80 nucleotides in length. Lineage: Bacteria; Pseudomonadati; Bacteroidota; Saprospiria; Saprospirales; Saprospiraceae. The record is from RNAcentral.